CGGCGGACGGGUGAGUAACGCGUGGGUAACCUGCCCCAUACAGGGGGAUAACAGUUAGAAAUGACUGCUAAUACCGCAUAAGACCACAGGAUCGCAUGAUCCGGUGGUAAAAACUCCGGUGGUAUGAGAUGGACCCGCGUCUGAUUAGCUAGUUGGUGGGGUAACGGCUCACCAAGGCGACGAUCAGUAGCCGACCUGAGAGGGUGACCGGCCACAUUGGGACUGAGACACGGCCCAA
Molecule: ribosomal RNA, 238 nt
Filed under: uncultured bacterium
Lineage: Bacteria
Description: partial 16S ribosomal RNA
Rfam family: Bacterial small subunit ribosomal RNA
Source: RNAcentral